Babesia microti strain RI is the source of this 74-nucleotide non-coding RNA. The record is from the annotation of a RefSeq genome assembly. Lineage: Eukaryota; Apicomplexa; Aconoidasida; Piroplasmida; Babesiidae.
AGGUAUAUGCAAAUUGAUAAUGACUUGAGAUUGUGAUUCUUAAAGUUAUGGGUUAAAUACCCAUCUUAUACCCU